This 373-nucleotide unclassified non-coding RNA is filed under the name uncultured fungus. Its description in RNAcentral is "partial contains small subunit ribosomal RNA, internal transcribed spacer 1, and 5.8S ribosomal RNA". The stretch from base 1 to 73 matches the Rfam family "Eukaryotic small subunit ribosomal RNA", at positions 1759 to 1831 of the family's 1831-position model. The record is from RNAcentral. Lineage: Eukaryota; Fungi.
UCAAACUUGGUCAUUUAGAGGAAGUAAAAGUCGUAACAAGGUUUCCGUAGGUGAACCUGCGGAAGGAUCAUUACUGAAGUAUUUGCAAUGGCUUGUUGCUGCCUCAUAGGGGUGUGCACGUCAUUCAAUCUUCUAAUUACCACCUGUGCACUUUUCAUAGGCUCUGAAUAAAUCUCUCACUGUAACAAGUGGAUCUGAGGGCUUAGCAAUGACUUUUCGGUCGUUCUUGCUUUCAAAUAUAUUCAAGGCUUAUGUUUUUUAUACACCCUUUAUGAUUUAUGAAUGUAUUGACUUACGGAUUUUUAUCUGUAUAAAUGUAAAUACAACUUUCAGCAACGGAUCUCUUGGCUCUCGCAUCGAUGAAGAACGCAGC